AGGACGAACGCUGGCGGCGUGCUUAACACAUGCAAGUCGAGCGGAAAGGCCCUUCGGGGUACUCGAGCGGCGAACGGGUGAGUAACACGUGAGUAAUCUGCCCCUAGCUCUGGGAUAGCUCCGGGAAACCGGGAUUAAUACCGGAUACGACCACUUUAGACAUCUGUUGUGGUGGAAAGAAUUUUGGCUAGGGAUGAGCUCGCGGCCUAUCAGCUUGUUGGUGGGGUAACGGCCUACCAAGGCGACGACGGGUAGCCGGCCUGAGAGGGCGACCGGCCACACUGGGACUGAGACACGGCCCAGACUCCUACGGGAGGCAGCAGUGGGGAAUAUUGCGCAAUGGGCGAAAAGCCUGACGCAGCGACGCCGCGUGGGGGAUGAAGGCCUUCGGGUUGUAAACCCUUUCAGCAGGGACGAAGCGAAAGUGACGGUACCUGCAGAAGAAGCGCCGGCUAACUACGCGCCAGCAGCCGC
RNAcentral lists this ribosomal RNA (474 nucleotides) under uncultured bacterium. RNAcentral's name for it is "SSU rRNA". It matches the Rfam family "Bacterial small subunit ribosomal RNA", at positions 26 to 518 of the family's 1533-position model. The record is from RNAcentral.